CUCGUAGGCGGUUCGGUAAGUCAGGUGUGAAAACCCGGGGCUCAACCCCGGGACGCCACUUGAUACUGCCGUGACUGGAGUCCGGUAGAGGAGUGUGGAAUUCCCGGUGUAGCGGUGGAAUGCGCAGAUAUCGGGAGGAACACCAACGGCGAAGGCAGCACUCUGGGCCGGUACUGACGCUGAGGAGCGAAAGCAUGGGGAGCGAACA
Molecule: ribosomal RNA, 208 nt
Filed under: uncultured bacterium
Lineage: Bacteria
Description: partial 16S ribosomal RNA
Rfam family: Bacterial small subunit ribosomal RNA
Source: RNAcentral